This 319-nucleotide ribosomal RNA is filed under the name Enterobacter asburiae. RNAcentral's name for it is "bacterial SSU rRNA". It matches the Rfam family "Bacterial small subunit ribosomal RNA", at positions 113 to 435 of the family's 1533-position model. The record is from RNAcentral. RNAcentral also lists the same sequence under 1 other name. Lineage: Bacteria; Pseudomonadati; Pseudomonadota; Gammaproteobacteria; Enterobacterales; Enterobacteriaceae.
AUGUCUGGGAAACUGCCUGAUGGAGGGGGAUAACUACUGGAAACGGUAGCUAAUACCGCAUAACGUCGCAAGACCAAAGAGGGGGACCUUCGGGCCUCUUGCCAUCAGAUGUGCCCAGAUGGGAUUAGCUAGUAGGUGGGGUAACGGCUCACCUAGGCGACGAUCCCUAGCUGGUCUGAGAGGAUGACCAGCCACACUGGAACUGAGACACGGUCCAGACUCCUACGGGAGGCAGCAGUGGGGAAUAUUGCACAAUGGGCGCAAGCCUGAUGCAGCCAUGCCGCGUGUAUGAAGAAGGCCUUCGGGUUGUAAAGUACUU